UUGGAGGGCAAGUCUGGUGCCAGCAGCCGCGGUAAUUCCAGCUCCAAUAGCGUAUAUUAAAGUUGUUGCAGUUAAAAAGCUCGUAGUUGAAUUUCGGGACUAGUACGUCGGUCGUGCCUUAGGUACGUACUGGUGUUACUGGUUCCUACCUUCUGACGAACCAUCAUGUCAUUAAUUUGGUGUGGUGGGGAAUCAGGACUGUUACUUUGAAAAAAUUAGAGUGUUUAAAGCAGGCUCGCGCUUGAAUACAUUAGCAUGGAAUAAUGAAAUAGGACG
This 276-nucleotide ribosomal RNA is filed under the name uncultured Glomus. RNAcentral describes it as "partial 18S ribosomal RNA". It matches the Rfam family "Eukaryotic small subunit ribosomal RNA", at positions 548 to 829 of the family's 1831-position model. Lineage: Eukaryota; Fungi; Glomeromycota; Glomeromycetes; Glomerales; Glomeraceae. The record is from RNAcentral.